RNAcentral lists this ribosomal RNA (467 nucleotides) under uncultured bacterium. RNAcentral's name for it is "bacterial SSU rRNA". It matches the Rfam family "Bacterial small subunit ribosomal RNA", at positions 355 to 825 of the family's 1533-position model. The record is from RNAcentral.
UUUCGAAUCAUCCACAAUGGGCGAAAGCCUGAUGGUGCGACGCCGCGUGAGGGAUGAAGGUCCUCGGAUUGUAAACCUCUGUCACCAGGGAGCAAAAACUAGACUCAUACUCUAGCUUGAGUUAACCUGGAGAGGAAGUAGUGGCAAACUCCGUGCCAGCAGCCGCGGUAAUACGGAGACUACGAGCGUUACUCGGAUUUACUGGGCGUAAAGGGUGCGUAGGCGGUUUGUCAAGUCAGUUGUGAAAUCUCCGAGCUUAACUCGGAACGGUCAACUGAUACUGUCAAACUAGAGUACAGAAGGGGCAAUCGGAAUUCUUGGUGUAGCGGUGAAAUGCGUAGAUAUCAAGAGGAACACCUGAGGCGAAGGCGGGUUGCUGGGCUGAUACUGACGCUGAAGCGCGAAAGCUAGGGUAGCAAACGGGAUUAGAUACCCUUGUAGUCCCUGAGCGGGCUGGCAAGGCGCAU